UUGUACAAUGUUACUUGUUGC
This 21-nucleotide non-coding RNA is filed under the name Caenorhabditis elegans. Lineage: Eukaryota; Metazoa; Nematoda; Chromadorea; Rhabditida; Rhabditidae. The record is from RNAcentral.